Long non-coding RNA from Girardinichthys multiradiatus, 1077 nucleotides. RefSeq lists it as uncharacterized. Lineage: Eukaryota; Metazoa; Chordata; Actinopteri; Cyprinodontiformes; Goodeidae. The record is from RefSeq and is a predicted model, not a curated record. The transcript has 3 exons.
UCAGACAAAGAUAACCCAGGUAAAUAUCAAAGCCACCAACCUGGAUUGUGAAAAAAUAACCGCAAUUUACAUUGCUGUAAAAAGAUAUUGGCCCUUGCUUCUUAGCAGAAAUCUUUUAUUUAAUUGGAGAGUUUCAGAGCAUGAAUUGCCUGUUUAAGAUUGCAACCCAAUCAGAUUUAACUCUGGACUUUGAGUAGGCCACUUCCAACCCACCACCUUUUUUAUUGGGUCAUUCAGAGGUGGACUUGCUGUAGGAGUGCGUUGCUGUAGACCAUUGUCUUGCUACAUUGGGAUUAAGUUUAAAGUCACAAAAUAAUGGCCGCACAUUCUUCUUAAAGUGGAACUAAACUCCAUGUUAACGAAUAACUGCCCCUUGACAAAUUUUGAAAAAUGCCACCAAAGUGGGCAGUUCCAAGUGUGGGGAUGAGUGGAGAGGAUUAAGAGGGUUGUGGUCAGGAGGACAAAGGAAAGUGGCAGCACCCCUCUCAUCAUCAGAGGUUAGGAGAGGCUUUACUGAGCCCAGCGGGCCUGAGCCCUUUAAGUUCGAGCCGCUGACUCAGCGAUGUCCGAAGCCAGCGCUGCCGCAGCAGUAGAGGAGCUGUUCCAACUCCUGGCUCGCCUCUGGGGCGUGUCUGUGUGAGAUGGUUUUACCCAGCGCCAUAGAAAGAGAGAGUUACGACGCUCCCAUUGACUUCUCUAGAAAGAAUGGAAUGUGGAAGUCACGUGGUUCAUGGAGCUGCUAAUAGUUCCAAACACCAGCAGCUCCAGCAUUGAACAUAGUUCAUUCUCGGUGUUUCGGAAGGAUUUUUUACGGUAAACCACAUGAGAAUGGCUUAAGUGAACUGCUGAACCUUGUUGCAUACGAAGCACCACAAAGGGAAGUCAGCAGAUGUGGUGACUGACUUCAAAGGGAGCUGCUGCCAAGGAGGAUGAACCCUCAUUCGGACUUGGGCACAUUUCUACCUUGUCUAGAUUUGAUCAGAUACAGUUUAUUGGUGCAGAUGUAAUUAAUAAACUGUAUAAAUGGUAGUGCAAGUACUUCUUUAUUAAAGCUAGUUUUGCAUUUUACAUAUCUUA